UACGAAGGGGGCUAGCGUUGCUCGGAAUCACUGGGCGUAAAGCGCACGUAGGCGGCUUUUUAAGUCAGGGGUGAAAUCCCAGAGCUCAACUCUGGAACUGCCUUUGAUACUGGGUAUCUUGAGUAUGGAAGAGGUAAGUGGAAUUGCGAGUGUAGAGGUGAAAUUCGUAGAUAUUCGCAGGAACACCGGUGGCGAAGGCGGCAUCCUGGACCGGCAUUGACGCUGAGGAGCGAAAGCCAGGGGGAGCAAACGGGG
Molecule: ribosomal RNA, 255 nt
Filed under: uncultured bacterium
Lineage: Bacteria
Description: partial 16S ribosomal RNA
Rfam family: Bacterial small subunit ribosomal RNA
Source: RNAcentral